Molecule: non-coding RNA, 92 nt
Organism: Pelobates cultripes (western spadefoot toad)
Lineage: Eukaryota; Metazoa; Chordata; Amphibia; Anura; Pelobatidae
Source: the annotation of a GenBank genome assembly
UUUAAGGGAUUCCCUCCUCUUGUGUGUUCGUCUGUGUUCUGGGAAAUUUCCCCGAACACAGACGAACACACAAGAGCAGGGAAUCCCUCUAA